GAGAGUCGGUGCGGGGGUUGCGGAUCCGUGCAGGCAGCGGAUCCGAGGAAAGUCCGGGCUCCCCAAGACCAGACCGCCGGGUAACGCCCGGUGCGGGCAACCGCAAGGCAAGUGCCACAGAAACAGACCGCCCAUGCGCUCGCACCCGAGCGCAGGUAAGGGUGCAAAGGUGCGGUAAGAGCGCACCAGCAGUACCGAGAGGUGCUGGCUCGGUAAACCCCGGUCGGGAGCAAGGCAGCGGAACCGGAGCGGGUCUUGCAGCGGUUCCGCAACACGCCGCUCGAGGCGUCUGGCGACAGGCGCCCUAGAUAGAUAACCCCCCUCGAAGGCAGGGCCUUCGAGAACAGAACCCGGCUUACGGCCGGCUCUCCCUU
This 374-nucleotide RNase P RNA is filed under the name Cyanobacteria bacterium QS_8_64_29. RNAcentral's name for it is "RNase P RNA component class A". It matches the Rfam family "Bacterial RNase P class A". From Rfam's summary of the family: Ribonuclease P (RNase P) is a ubiquitous endoribonuclease, found in archaea, bacteria and eukarya as well as chloroplasts and mitochondria. Its best characterised activity is the generation of mature 5'-ends of tRNAs by cleaving the 5'-leader elements of precursor-tRNAs. Lineage: Bacteria; Bacillati; Cyanobacteriota. The record is from RNAcentral.